This 328-nucleotide RNase P RNA is filed under the name Bacteroidales bacterium. Its description in RNAcentral is "RNase P RNA component class A". It matches the Rfam family "Bacterial RNase P class A". From Rfam's summary of the family: Ribonuclease P (RNase P) is a ubiquitous endoribonuclease, found in archaea, bacteria and eukarya as well as chloroplasts and mitochondria. Its best characterised activity is the generation of mature 5'-ends of tRNAs by cleaving the 5'-leader elements of precursor-tRNAs. Lineage: Bacteria; Pseudomonadati; Bacteroidota; Bacteroidia; Bacteroidales. The record is from RNAcentral.
CAGGUGGGAUGACCUGUCGCGGCCGCAUUGCGGCUGAGGAAAGUCCGGACAGGAUAGAGCGACUCGCUGUGGAAAGCACAGAUGGGAGUAAUCUUAUGGAUGCCGUAACAGAAAACAGACCGCCCUGCAAGGGGUAAGGGUGAAACCGCGAGGCAAGAGCUCACGACGCCGUAUGGCGACAUAUGGCGGUGACGGCACCGAGUCCUGCAAGACCAUGUAUACCGGAGAGUCCGCAAGGACAAAAGGGCUGCUCGCUCUUUCCGGGGGGUAGGUUGCGAAGAUAAAUGACGGGAUAAAACAGAAACCGGCUUACGGUCUCACCUGACAC